UCUUUUGGGGAUUCCAGCUGUUAUGCUUGGCAGCUAAGUGACCCAGUGGAAAAAGAGCUGGCCAGGGAAUCAGAAAAACCUGAGUUCAGAUCCUGCUUCAGACACUUCCCAGCUCUGUCUGCCUCAGUUUUCUCUGCUAUAAAAUGGGAACAACAAUAAUAAUGAAACCUCUCUCCAAGAGAUCGUAAGGAUCUGAUAACACAGGCCAGCAGAAUGUUCAUAACAAGGAAAAACAGGCGACCUCCUGGGGAGAUCAGUCUGGCCUCCUACUGGAAGGACACGGGGUUCUUGAGAAGAACAGGAAAAGGCUAAUCAGAAAAGUUCCGGCUUUGCUGUUGUCCCUGCUGGAUUCCCACAUCAGGAUCCACCAAAGAUUUCCGCCCUUCCUCGCCCAUCCCUCAACCCCCUUGCCCACACAAACACGCCGAUGCACUCAUGUGUGUGCCCUCACACGGAUGCUCCCUCAUCUCUGUUAGCCUCCAUUUCACCACCUGCAAAAUGGGAAUAUUUUUAAGCUUCUACACUUGUACAUACACUUGCACAUAGACAUUCAUUUAUGCACUCACAUAUGUUAGAGGUACAGGAUAUCUUUUGUCUAACUCGCAUUUCAGCUCUCAAAGGUAAUUGUCCCUCUCACAAGGACUAGCCAGGGCUUCUAAGAGCAGCACUUGACCCUGACUCUCUCCAGCUGAGCUCCUCUUCCUUCCUAGCACUCAGAGCCAACCAGUCCCUCCACAGCCCUUGGCUCAUGAAGCCCUUGCUAGCCCACCCUAUAAAAAGUGACCAUCAAAUCACAGUAUUUUAUUUUUGUAAAUCAUAACUUUUUAUUUUCAAAAUACAGACACGGACACUUUUUGAUAUUCACCCCUACAAAACCCUGUGUUCUAAAUUUUUUCCCUUCCUCCCCCAGUUGGCAAGUGAUCCAAUAUAUGUUAAACAUGAAAUCACAGUAUUUUAAAUUAGAAGAGAACCUACAAUCCAUAUAGUUCAAUCCAUACUCAAAAGGGAUCCCCAUCACAACAUACCCAACCUGUGGUCAUCUAGUUAAGACCUCCAUCGAGGAUGAACUCACCCCCUCUUUAGGCAGCCCUUCUAUUCCAGGAUAACUAAUUAUUAGAAAGAUUUUCUCUAAAUCAGACCUGCAUUUAUCUUUUUUUUUUUUUAAACGUCAUAAUUCUUUUCUCUGGGACCAGUAAACAACAUGGAUCUCUCUUCCUUAUGAUAGCCUUUUAAAUAUUUAAACACAUCUAUCAUCUUGGAGGCUUCUCUUCUCAGGUUAAACGUCUUGAGUUGAUGGCAUUGUGGAUAGAGUACAGAUCUGGUCUCAGAUACUACCAAGCUAAGUGAUCCUGAGCAAGUCCCUUAAUACUCUUGCCUCAGUUUCUUCAUCUGUAAAAUGAGCUGGAGAAGGAAAUGGCAGACCACUGCAGUGUCUUUGUCAAGAAAACCCAAAUGGGGUCACAGAGAGACUGAAACAAGUGAACAAGAACAACUGGUUGUGAGUACUAGACCAUCAGCACCUCAAAGUCAACAUGUCCAAGUCUGAAUCCCUUGGCCCCUCCUCUAAAUGACAUCCUUUUAAUUCCCCCUUUUCCUUAUUUCUCCUGAAAGUAUCACCAUUGGGCAGAAAUGUAGCAUAGUGGAAGAGGUUCUAAAUUUUCAGUCAGGAGAUCUGAGUUAAAAUUCUGUCUCUGACAAUACUUGUAUGAUGUUGGUCAAGUCACUUAACCCCAUUUACCUCAAUUUUCUCAUGAGGGGGUUGGAUGGACCCUCCAGAUUACUUCUAACUCUAAAUGUUUGAUCUUCUGAUUCUCCCUGGUACUCAGGCUUGAUAACUCAGAGAUCUUUGAUUCUUCACUCUCUCACUCAUUCCUCUUUCUCUUCAUUCACAUCUAACGGGUUAUUAAGUCCUGUUCAUUUUAAAUUUCUUGUAUAUGUCUUCUUUCUCCCACUUACAGAAUUAUCAUCUUAGCUCAAACCUUAUCACUUUUCUUCACUAUAGAAAUAAUCUUUUAACUGGUGUCUUUCCUUUUCUAACCAAAGAAUAGCCAUCAAUAGUUUGACAUCAACUUGGAAGGAAUUCUCUAGUGGAAUGUCCUAGGGAUUUUUUAAAAUAACUUUUUAUUUACAAGUUAUAUGCAUGGAUAAUUUUACAGCAUUGGCAAUUGCCAAACCUUUUGUUCCAAUUUUUCCCCUCUUUCCCCCCACCUCCUCCCCGAGAUGGCAGGUUAAUCAAUACAUGUUAAAUAUAUUAAAGUAUAAAUUAAAAACAAAAUAAGUAUGCAUGGCCAAACCAUUAUUUUUCUGUACAAAAAGAAUCAGACUCUGAAAUAGUGUACAAUUAAUCUGUGAAGGAAAUCAAAAUGCAGGUGGACAAAAAUAGAGGGAUUGGGAAUUCUAUAUAGUGGUUCAUAAUCAUCUCCUAGAGUUCUUUCUCUGGGUGUAGCUGAAAUCAUCCUUUUGGUCAUUUUUUUCUGAACAAUAAUCUUCUAUAACAUUCAUAUACCACAAUUUAUUGAGCCAUUCUCCAAUUGAUGGGCAUCCACUCAGUUUCCAGUUUCUGGCCACUACAAAGAGGGCUGCUAUAAACAUUCUUGUACAUACAAGUCCCUUUCCCUUCUUUAAAAUCUCAUUAGGACAUAAGCCCAGUAGUAACACUGCUGGAUCAAAGGGUAUGCACAGUUUGAUAACUUUUUGAGCAUAGUUCCUAGGGAUUUUUUUUGACCCUAUGCUGUUUAACAUUUUUAUUAUUAUGUAUUGUGAAGGCACGGAUUAUAUCUUAUCAGAUUUGCAGAUAUUGGAUGACAAUGUUGGGUUUAAUUUAAUAAAAUGAAAUUAAAUAAGAAUAAAUGUAAAGUA
Molecule: long non-coding RNA, 2859 nt
Organism: Antechinus flavipes (yellow-footed antechinus)
Lineage: Eukaryota; Metazoa; Chordata; Mammalia; Dasyuromorphia; Dasyuridae
Exons: 2
Source: RefSeq, a predicted model, not a curated record